Long non-coding RNA from Gordionus sp. m RMFG-2023, 334 nucleotides. RefSeq lists it as uncharacterized. The transcript is spliced from 4 exons. The record is from RefSeq and is a predicted model, not a curated record. Lineage: Eukaryota; Metazoa; Nematomorpha; Gordioida; Chordodea; Parachordodidae.
AAUUUUUUAUGAAAGUUAGCAUAAACAAAUUUGCCUUAUUAUUUUUGAAAAUCAAGUUGUAUUAUGAGUAGUAAUUCAACAAUUCACCAUAACAAACGUAUAAAAAAAUCUAAUAAAUGUGAAAUAAUAAAUAAUGAGAUUAUUGAAAAAGAAAUUCAAAUUUGGGCUAAUGGGAUAUGUAAAGGGUUUAAUUCACUUUAUAAUUGGGAAAAUGCUUACACGAAAAGAGUGGAUAGCUUAAAAGAAAAAAUUAAGAUACAAAGUAUAUUAUAUCCAUGGAAAGAUCAAUUUGAUAACAAUCAUGAGCAUGAAAAAUUGUUAAGCUCAAGUUAAU